RNAcentral lists this ribosomal RNA (609 nucleotides) under Escherichia coli. RNAcentral describes it as "bacterial SSU rRNA". It matches the Rfam family "Bacterial small subunit ribosomal RNA", at positions 151 to 755 of the family's 1533-position model. The record is from RNAcentral. Lineage: Bacteria; Pseudomonadati; Pseudomonadota; Gammaproteobacteria; Enterobacterales; Enterobacteriaceae.
UGGAAGGUGGCGCUAAUACGGCAUAACGUCGCAAGGUAAAAGUGGGGGACCUUGGGGCAUCUGUGCAUCGGAUGUGCCCAGAUGGGAUUCGCUUGUGUGUGGGGUAACGGCUCGUCAAGGCGAAGAGACCUAGCUGGUCUGAGAGGAUGACCAGCCACACUGGAACUGAGACACGGUCCAGACUCCUACGGGAGGCAGCAGUGGGGAAUAUUGCACAAUGGGCGCAAGCCUGAUGCAGCCAUGCCGCGUGUAUGAAGAAGGCCUUCGGGUUGUAAAGUACUUUCAGCGGGGAGGAAGGGAGUAAAGUUAAUACCUUUGCUCAUUGACGUUACCCGCAGAAGAAGCACCGGCUAACUCCGUGCCAGCAGCCGCGGUAAUACGGAGGGUGCAAGCGUUAAUCGGAAUUACUGGGCGUAAAGCGCACGCAGGCGGUUUGUUAAGUCAGAUGUGAAAUCCCCGGGCUCAACCUGGGAACUGCAUCUGAUACUGGCAAGCUUGAGUCUCGUAGAGGGGGGUAGAAUUCCAGGUGUAGCGGUGAAAUGCGUAGAGAUCUGGAGGAAUACCGGUGGCGAAGGCGGCCCCCUGGACGAAGACUGACGCUCAGGUGCG